AUUAUUAUAACUUAUAUUAAAGUGUUAGAUUCUUACUCUAAUUAAGUUUUUUUAAACUAAUAAUA
This 65-nucleotide transfer RNA is filed under the name Thaparocleidus asoti. RNAcentral describes it as "tRNA-Lys". The record is from RNAcentral. Lineage: Eukaryota; Metazoa; Platyhelminthes; Monogenea; Dactylogyridea; Ancylodiscoididae.